This 639-nucleotide ribosomal RNA is filed under the name uncultured bacterium. RNAcentral describes it as "bacterial SSU rRNA". It matches the Rfam family "Bacterial small subunit ribosomal RNA", at positions 607 to 1244 of the family's 1533-position model. The record is from RNAcentral.
GCUCAACCGUGGAGGGUCAUUGGAAACUGGGAAACUUGAGUGCAGAAGAGGAAAGUGGAAUUCCAUGUGUAGCGGUGAAAUGCGCAGAGAUAUGGAGGAACACCAGUGGCGAAGGCGACUUUCUGGUCUGUAACUGACGCUGAUGUGCGAAAGCGUGGGGAUCAAACAGGAUUAGAUACCCUGGUAGUCCACGCCGUAAACGAUGAGUGCUAAGUGUUAGGGGGUUUCCGCCCCUUAGUGCUGCAGCUAACGCAUUAAGCACUCCGCCUGGGGAGUACGACCGCAAGGUUGAAACUCAAAGGAAUUGACGGGGACCCGCACAAGCGGUGGAGCAUGUGGCUUAAUUCGAAGCAACGCGAAGAACCUUACCAAAUCUUGACAUCCUUUGACCACUCUAGAGAUAGAGCUUUCCCCUUCGGGGGACAAAGUGACAGGUGGUGCAUGGUUGUCGUCAGCUCGUGUCGUGAGAUGUUGGGUUAAGUCCCGCAACGAGCGCAACCCUUAAGCUUAGUUGCCAUCAUUAAGUUGGGCACUCUAGGUUGACUGCCGGUGACAAACCGGAGGAAGGUGGGGAUGACGUCAAAUCAUCAUGCCCCUUAUGAUUUGGGCUACACACGUGCUACAAUGGACAAUACAAAG